GAGAAAAGGAGUUGCACAACCACAUUAUUCCAAAGGAUAUCAUCUAAUCCAAACCUACGUCAGCACGGAACUUCUGAGAUAAAUCUUCAAGUCAGCAAUGGAACAGAAGGCAAACGAGUGUCCCACCUCUCCUCAGAAGCGCAUGAAGAACAGGUCCAAAUCCACAGAGGAGAUGCAACAGACGAAGAAGGCCUUUUCCUCACAAAAAUCACUCCCGGGCAGACCAGAGCUGGAGAAAGUGAAGGAGUGUCCUGACUCUGACACGCCAUCGUCCUCCAUGGAGGAGUUAAAAUGAUAAAUGGAAGGACACAUCAUCAUAAACACAAGAUACAUAAAAUGUACAUAUGAACGCAGAGAAACAUGCAAAAUAUUAUAAAAAGAUAAUCGUGAACUACAUUAGGCCUUUAAAACACACAAGCAAUGAUUUUAUGAUUGGUUAAAUAAAAUUAAAGACAAACUCACACACACUGAAACAAUCCCUUGUGAACACCUGUGAUGAUGCAGUUUCAUUUUAUUGUGAUUGUUGUAUACAUACCACACUGAAUGUGUAUUAUUGAAAAUAAAUUGAGGCUGU
Molecule: long non-coding RNA, 574 nt
Organism: Etheostoma cragini (Arkansas darter)
Lineage: Eukaryota; Metazoa; Chordata; Actinopteri; Perciformes; Percidae
Exons: 5
Source: RefSeq, a predicted model, not a curated record